RNAcentral lists this long non-coding RNA (1404 nucleotides) under Anas platyrhynchos platyrhynchos (common mallard). Its description in RNAcentral is "lncRNA (ENSAPLG00000025214.1)". The record is from RNAcentral. Lineage: Eukaryota; Metazoa; Chordata; Aves; Anseriformes; Anatidae.
CAGCCCCUGGCGUGGAUCCAGCUCGCUUUCUCCUUGACCCGUCUCCACCAAAAGCGCCGCCGCCACGGGUCCCCGCCACCAGCUCCCGUUCCGCAAAUAGCAGCAAAGGAGCGCCUCGCUCCCCAGAUGAAUGCCCCCCCUGACCCCUGUCCCGAUGCCUGCCCCACUGAGAGAAACCCUCAGAGGCCGUGCCCUUGUAAACACCUCGCCCUCCGGUGACAGGGGACAGGGACGUGACACCAAACCGCGCCGUCCCCAAGUGUCCCUCCUCUGGAUGGGGACAGGCAGCAGGGCACGAUGCGGGCAGGACGGGCUGAUCCUGGCUCCUAGGAGCAUUUCAUUCCCAAACAGGGCCUCCUGUGCGAGGGGCUUGUCGGCGUGAUGCAGGAGAGCAGGAGCACCCAUCUGCGUCCUCGCUGUCCGGGUGCCACCACGGCAGCACCGAGCCAGCCAGCCACCAAAAUCCCCCCCAGCCACCAAAAGGACCUUCCUGCCAGCCCGGCCCCUUGAGCAGGAGCAUCUCUGUUAUCCUGGGAAAUGGCGAAUUGGGAUUUUUUCGCCUCCCUCUUCCCCCCACCCCCGUUUCCCUCCCCCAGCUCUUUUUUUCCGCAUCAUAAGCAAAGUCCUCAUCAAGCUCCCAUCCCCACUGCCAGCCCUGCGCCAUGCUCCCAGCAGAAAAGAGAUGCAAAGCCACGCUUGGAAUCUGAUUCCCCGGCUUUAAACGCUGCUCUGCCAGCAAAGUGCGACUUGAAAGCUCCCCUGUCACAGUUACAAAGCUCCGAACAGCCCUUCCUCGGAUAAUCACGCUUAUCUCCAGAUUAAGAAAGAGAGACCUGCAGCUGAGGCUGGUCACAUGGGCCGGGAUGUGGGCAAAUCUCUUUUAAACAAUCCCCAGAUAGCUCUGACCUCCGCCGCAGCCCCGGGACCCAGCCCCAAGUUCCCACUCCACAGCCCAGCUCCGGAGGCACGCCGGGGAGGGGAACCCGCCGGGGAGAGCAGGGGCACCACGAAACUGGGGGAGGAGUGAGAAAACGCCGCGGCGGAGGAGGCGCGGGGCGGUGGAAGGAGCGAGCAGCCAGGGGAGGAGGUUUUUGGGGCUGCUCGCCCCACGCUCUGCCACCUCCCAGCCAGGCUCCUGCAGGACCCCGCUGCCCCUCCACACCUCCGCGGCCAGCACCAGGACCCCGGCGUGGAGCAGAGAGCGAUGCCCCCAGACCUCGGCACGCAGCAGAACCUCCCCAAGCAGCCUGGCUUCGAAGCAGCCUCGUGUCAGCCCCGAAUUUCCCUGCUCUUCCCGCUCAGGGGCAGGCGGCAGCACGGGCAGCGACGGCACCUCGCCUCGCUACAGCCUCUUCUUGCUCUGCUCGAGGAAUCUGCAUGGGCUCUGAGGUCUCGGUGAUUUAA